AUAAUACUAACGGCGUAAAGCACGACUAAUACUAGGUCUUAAUAUUAGGAGCGAAGCUAAACUGGGCUGUAAAAAGCCAUAAGUCGCACUAACCACCCUAAUAAUGAACAACUUCCACUCGUGAAAGCUAGGACACAAACUAAGAUUAGAUACCUUACUAUGCCUAACCAUAACACAACAAUCAAAUAACCCAUUGUUCGCCAAAUAACUACGAGUAAAAACUUAAAAUUUAAAAGACUUGACGGUACCUCAAAACAACCUAGAGGAGCCUGUCUAAUAACCGAUACCCCACGAUCAACCCAACCCCCUCUAGCCUAACAGUCUAUAUACCGCCGUCGCCAGCCUACCUUGUGAAAGAAACAAAGUGAGCCAAACAGCCCCCACUAACACGACAGGUCGAGGUGUAACUUAUGAGCGGGUCUAAGAUGGGCUACAUUUUCUAACAUAGAAAAUACGAAUUAUUCCAUGAAAUAAGAAACUGAAGGCGGAUUUAGCAGUAUGCCGGGAACAACAUACCCAGCCGAAAUCAGCGCAAUGAGGUGCGUACACACCGCCCGUCAUCCCUGUUAACACACUAAAAACAUACAUAAC
RNAcentral lists this ribosomal RNA (591 nucleotides) under Coronella girondica. RNAcentral describes it as "partial 12S ribosomal RNA". Lineage: Eukaryota; Metazoa; Chordata; Lepidosauria; Squamata; Colubridae. The record is from RNAcentral.